CAUGGGCAGGUUGAAGGUUGGGUAACACUAACUGGAGGACCGAACCGACUAAUGUUGAAAAAUUAGCGGAUGACCUGUGGCUGGGGGUGAAAGGCCAAUCAAACCGGGAGAUAGCUGGUUCUCCCCGAAAGCUAUUUAGGUAGCGCCUCGUGAAUUCAUCUCCGGGGGUAGAGCACUGUUUCGGCUAGGGGGCCAUCCCGGCUUACCAACCCGAUGCAAACUGCGAAUACCGGAGAAUGUUAUCACGGGAGACACACGGCGGGUGCUAACGUCCGUCGUGAAGAGGGAAACAACCCAGACCGCCAGCUAAGGUCCCAAAGUCAUGGUUAAGUGGGAAACGAUGUGGGAAGGCCCAGACAGCCAGGAUGUUGGCUUAGAAGCAGCCAUCAUUUAAAGAAAGCGUAAUAGCUCACUGGUCGAGUCGGCCUGCGCGGAAGAUGUAACGGGGCUAAACCAU
This 457-nucleotide ribosomal RNA is filed under the name Salmonella enterica subsp. enterica serovar Infantis. RNAcentral describes it as "partial 23S ribosomal RNA". It matches the Rfam family "Bacterial large subunit ribosomal RNA", at positions 735 to 1190 of the family's 2925-position model. RNAcentral also lists the same sequence under 3 other names. Lineage: Bacteria; Pseudomonadati; Pseudomonadota; Gammaproteobacteria; Enterobacterales; Enterobacteriaceae. The record is from RNAcentral.